This 1638-nucleotide ribosomal RNA is filed under the name Escherichia coli. RNAcentral describes it as "partial 23S ribosomal RNA". It matches the Rfam family "Bacterial large subunit ribosomal RNA", at positions 1291 to 2909 of the family's 2925-position model. The record is from RNAcentral. Lineage: Bacteria; Pseudomonadati; Pseudomonadota; Gammaproteobacteria; Enterobacterales; Enterobacteriaceae.
CGAAUGCUGACAUAAGUAACGAUAAAGCGGGUGAAAAGCCCGCUCGCCGGAAGACCAAGGGUUCCUGUCCAACGUUAAUCGGGGCAGGGUGAGUCGACCCCUAAGGCGAGGCCGAAAGGCGUAGUCGAUGGGAAACAGGUUAAUAUUCCUGUACUUGGUGUUACUGCGAAGGGGGGACGGAGAAGGCUAUGUUGGCCGGGCGACGGUUGUCCCGGUUUAAGCGUGUAGGCUGGUUUUCCAGGCAAAUCCGGAAAAUCAAGGCUGAGGCGUGAUGACGAGGCACUACGGUGCUGAAGCAACAAAUGCCCUGCUUCCAGGAAAAGCCUCUAAGCAUCAGGUAACAUCAAAUCGUACCCCAAACCGACACAGGUGGUCAGGUAGAGAAUACCAAGGCGCUUGAGAGAACUCGGGUGAAGGAACUAGGCAAAAUGGUGCCGUAACUUCGGGAGAAGGCACGCUGAUAUGUAGGUGAAGUCCCUCGCGGAUGGAGCUGAAAUCAGUCGAAGAUACCAGCUGGCUGCAACUGUUUAUUAAAAACACAGCACUGUGCAAACACGAAAGUGGACGUAUACGGUGUGACGCCUGCCCGGUGCCGGAAGGUUAAUUGAUGGGGUCAGCGCAAGCGAAGCUCUUGAUCGAAGCCCCGGUAAACGGCGGCCGUAACUAUAACGGUCCUAAGGUAGCGAAAUUCCUUGUCGGGUAAGUUCCGACCUGCACGAAUGGCGUAAUGAUGGCCAGGCUGUCUCCACCCGAGACUCAGUGAAAUUGAACUCGCUGUGAAGAUGCAGUGUACCCGCGGCAAGACGGAAAGACCCCGUGAACCUUUACUAUAGCUUGACACUGAACAUUGAGCCUUGAUGUGUAGGAUAGGUGGGAGGCUUUGAAGUGUGGACGCCAGUCUGCAUGGAGCCGACCUUGAAAUACCACCCUUUAAUGUUUGAUGUUCUAACGUGGACCCGUGAUCCGGGUUGCGGACAGUGUCUGGUGGGUAGUUUGACUGGGGCGGUCUCCUCCUAAAGAGUAACGGAGGAGCACGAAGGUUGGCUAAUCCUGGUCGGACAUCAGGAGGUUAGUGCAAUGGCAUAAGCCAGCUUGACUGCGAGCGUGACGGCGCGAGCAGGUGCGAAAGCAGGUCAUAGUGAUCCGGUGGUUCUGAAUGGAAGGGCCAUCGCUCAACGGAUAAAAGGUACUCCGGGGAUAACAGGCUGAUACCGCCCAAGAGUUCAUAUCGACGGCGGUGUUUGGCACCUCGAUGUCGGCUCAUCACAUCCUGGGGCUGAAGUAGGUCCCAAGGGUAUGGCUGUUCGCCAUUUAAAGUGGUACGCGAGCUGGGUUUAGAACGUCGUGAGACAGUUCGGUCCCUAUCUGCCGUGGGCGCUGGAGAACUGAGGGGGGCUGCUCCUAGUACGAGAGGACCGGAGUGGACGCAUCACUGGUGUUCGGGUUGUCAUGCCAAUGGCACUGCCCGGUAGCUAAAUGCGGAAGAGAUAAGUGCUGAAAGCAUCUAAGCACGAAACUUGCCCCGAGAUGAGUUCUCCCUGACCCUUUAAGGGUCCUGAAGGAACGUUGAAGACGACGACGUUGAUAGGCCGGGUGUGUAAGCGCAGCGAUGCGUUGAGCUAACCGGUACUAAUGAAC